Molecule: long non-coding RNA, 1256 nt
Filed under: Vulpes vulpes (red fox)
Lineage: Eukaryota; Metazoa; Chordata; Mammalia; Carnivora; Canidae
Description: lncRNA (ENSVVUG00000012389.1)
Source: RNAcentral
AUGCGCAGUGCGGAGAGCGGAGGGUGCGCGCCGCCGGGCGGGCGGGGCGCGGGGGCGCGGGGACGCCGGUCCGCGGGGCCCUCAGGAGCCGACCAGCACCUCCAUGAUGUGGUCCAGCUCCGUGAGGUCCAUCUUGAAGGGCUGACUCGGGGCGACCGGCUGGCUGCUGUACGGCGCCAGCGUCUUGAGGAGGUCGUCCGCCGACACCGACACGGGCGCCAUCUUGGAGGCCGUCCCCGCCGCCGACGUGCAGGGGUCGAAGUCGUACAUGGACGUGUCGAUGUCGGCGAACAGGAUGUCGUCCAGGGUCAGAGGAGAAAGGAAAGGGAGCGGCAUCAACCACACGGAAACUCAUUUUCUGCCCUAAAAGGGACGCCGAUUCGGGGUUCAGGGCUUGGACUCCAGUUGCUUGCCCCAGCGUGCACAGAGCUUUUCUGCCUGUUGGGUGACAUGUGGCGUAGCACCCGGCCUGUGUUAAGUGACCACAGCGAUGGAGCGGCCACCGCUUCUCAGCCCAGAAUAAAGUGGAGGAAUGUGGCUUUCCCAGCCCAAGCGCCAGUGGCUCAAUUUGAUUGCGUACAGUUAACGUCUGACUGCAACCGCACGAAUUUAAAAAUACACACGUGCUUCGGAAAAGAGCCAACCACCUCAUAUCUCAGACCUUGACAUUUGGGAAUGGCGUGAGUUUUAACACCUGCCCUGCCUCACCUGCCGCUCCCUGCCUACGCCGCCUCCUUGCCUGCUCUGGCCUUACUGAGGACUCCCCCGGCCGGCUGCACCUUCUGGAGAGUGUCCCUUCCUUUCAGAACUUCUACCGUCUAAACAGAACAACUGUUCUGUUUAGUUCUGUUUCAGUACAACUGCAAGCCCACUGGCCUUUGCCUCACAGAUCUCACUUUCUAACCAUUUAAUCAGGAAAGUUGUUCUGCUGUCCAGACCAGAAGACGUGGUUCUCAUUAAGCCGGGCCUGUGCUUGCUCCCCCAGCCCGUCUGCAGCACUUACCCACAGGCGAGUGUUAAUCCUCUCCUGGGUGCCACUCACUGAUAUCUUCAUAUACAAGUAGUUUGUACUUAUUCAAUUUUUCUUCUAAAAGCGACUUGCCUUUUACUGAAUUGCUUCAGCUGAUUUUGAUGGAGCCUCAUUCAGUCUUUAUAUUUGUUUACUCAUUCUGCAUCUAUGCUGUCGUGGGCACUCUGCCAGAAAGUGGGUAGUCCUGCCAAUGAAUAAAGCCUGGUCUUCAAGGGGCUGAAUAUCA